This 422-nucleotide ribosomal RNA is filed under the name uncultured bacterium. RNAcentral's name for it is "bacterial SSU rRNA". It matches the Rfam family "Bacterial small subunit ribosomal RNA", at positions 355 to 774 of the family's 1533-position model. The record is from RNAcentral.
UGAGGAAUAUUGGACAAUGGAUGGAAAUCUGAUCCAGCCAUGCCGCGUGCAGGAAGACGGCCCUAUGGGUUGUAAACUGCUUUUGUAUGGGAGCAAUAAGGACUACGUGUAGUUUGAUGAGAGUACCAUACGAAUAAGCAUCGGCUAACUCCGUGCCAGCAGCCGCGGUAAUACGGAGGACGCGAGCGUUAUCCGGAUUUAUUGGGUUUAAAGGGUGCGUAGGCGGCGAUAUAAGUCAGUGGUGAAAUAUUUCGGCUUAACCGAGAGACUGCCAUUGAUACUGUGUUGCUAGAAUAUGGUUGCUGUGAGUGGAAUGUGUGGUGUAGCGGUGAAAUGCUUAGAUAUCACACAGAAUAUCGAUUGCGAAGGCAGCUCACAAAGCCAUUAUUGACGCUGAGGCACGAAAGUGUGGGGAUCAAACA